GGCUCAGUGGCUCAGUGGAAAAAGCACGAGCUUGGGAGUCAGAGGUCAUGGGUUCAAAUCCCGGCUCAGCCG
Molecule: transfer RNA, 72 nt
Filed under: Ornithorhynchus anatinus (platypus)
Lineage: Eukaryota; Metazoa; Chordata; Mammalia; Monotremata; Ornithorhynchidae
Rfam family: tRNA
About the family: Transfer RNA (tRNA) molecules are approximately 80 nucleotides in length. Their secondary structure includes four short double-helical elements and three loops (D, anti-codon, and T loops). Further hydrogen bonds mediate the characteristic L-shaped molecular structure. tRNAs have two regions of fundamental functional importance: the anti-codon, which is responsible for specific mRNA codon recognition, and the 3' end, to which the tRNAs corresponding amino acid is attached (by aminoacyl-tRNA synthetases). tRNAs cope with the degeneracy of the genetic code in two manners: having more than one tRNA (with a specific anti-codon) for a particular amino acid; and 'wobble' base-pairing, i.e. permitting non-standard base-pairing at the 3rd anti-codon position.
Source: Rfam by way of RNAcentral